UAACAAGGAUUCCCCUAGUAACUGCGAGUGAAGCGGGAAAAGCUCAAAUUUAAAAUCUGGCGGUCUUUGGCCGUCCGAAUUGUAGUCUGGAGAAGUGUUUUCCGCGCUGGACCGUGUACAAGUCUCUUGGAAUAGAGCGUCAUAGAGGGUGAGAAUCCCGUCUUUGACACGGACUGCCAGUGCUUUGUGAUGCGCUCUCAAAGAGUCGAGUUGUUUGGGAAUGCAGCUCAAAAUGGGAGGUAAAUUCCUUCUAAAGCUAAAUAUUGGCGAGAGACCGAUAGCGAACAAGUACCGUGAGGGAAAGAUGAAAAGCACUUUGGAAAGAGAGUUAAACAGUACGUGAAAUUGCUAAAAGGGAAACGCUUGAAGUCAGUCGCGUCAUUCAGAACUCAGCCUGGCUUUUGCUUGGUGCAUUUUCUGUUUGACGGGCCAGCAUCAAUUUUGACCGUUGGAUAAAGGCUUUGGGAAUGUGGCAUCUUCGGAUGUGUUAUAGCCCUUGGUUGCAUACAACGGUUGGGAUUGAGGAUCACAGCAUGCCUUUAUGGUCGGGGUUCGCCCACGUUCAUGCUUAGGAUGCUGGCGU
Molecule: ribosomal RNA, 583 nt
Filed under: Hypochnicium sp. KUC8019
Lineage: Eukaryota; Fungi; Basidiomycota; Agaricomycetes; Polyporales
Description: LSU rRNA
Rfam family: Eukaryotic large subunit ribosomal RNA
Source: RNAcentral